RNAcentral lists this ribosomal RNA (460 nucleotides) under uncultured bacterium. RNAcentral's name for it is "partial 16S ribosomal RNA". It matches the Rfam family "Bacterial small subunit ribosomal RNA", at positions 338 to 795 of the family's 1533-position model. The record is from RNAcentral.
CCUACGGGAGGCAGCAGUGAGGAAUAUUGGUCAAUGGCCGGAAGGCUGAACCAGCCAUGCCGCGUGAAGGUCAGUGCCCUAUGGGCGUUAAACUUCUUUUGUGCGGGAGCAAUAAUGGUCACGUGUGGCCAGACGAGAGUACCGUACGAAUAAGCAUCGGCUAACCCCGUGCCAGCAGCCGCGGUAAUACGGGGGAUGCAAGCGUUAUCCGGAUUUAUUGGGUUUAAAGGGUGCGUAGGCUGGGAGGUAAGUCAGCGGUGAAAUGCCCCCGCUCAACGGGGUGAAGUGCCAUUGAUACUGCCUGGCUGGAAUGCGGAUGCCGUGGGAGGAAUGUGUGGUGUAGCGGUGAAAUGCAUAGAUAUCACACAGAACACCGAUUGCGAAGGCAUCUCACGAAUCCGCGAUUGACGCUGAUGCACGAAAGCGUGGGUAUCAAACAGGAUUAGAUACCCUUGUAGUC